CAGUCGAGCGGAUGACAGGAGCUUGCUCCUGAAUUCAGCGGCGGACGGGUGAGUAAUGCCUAGGAAUCUGCCUGGUAGUGGGGGACAACGUUUCGAAAGGAACGCUAAUACCGCAUACGUCCUACGGGAGAAAGCAGGGGACCUUCGGGCCUUGCGCUAUCAGAUGAGCCUAGGUCGGAUUAGCUAGUUGGUGAGGUAAUGGCUCACCAAGGCGACGAUCCGUAACUGGUCUGAGAGGAUGAUCAGUCACACUGGAACUGAGACACGGUCCAGACUCCUACGGGAGGCAGCAGUGGGGAAUAUUGGACAAUGGGCGAAAGCCUGAUCCAGCCAUGCCGCGUGUGUGAAGAAGGUCUUCGGAUUGUAAAGCACUUUAAGUUGGGAGGAAGGGCAGUAACUUAAUACGUUGCCGUCUUGACGUUACCGACAGAAUAAGCACCGGCUAACUCUGUGCCAGCAGCCGCGGUAAUACAGAGGGUGCAAGCGUUAAUCGGAAUUACU
RNAcentral lists this ribosomal RNA (501 nucleotides) under Pseudomonas sp. RNAcentral's name for it is "bacterial SSU rRNA". It matches the Rfam family "Bacterial small subunit ribosomal RNA", at positions 59 to 555 of the family's 1533-position model. Lineage: Bacteria; Pseudomonadati; Pseudomonadota; Gammaproteobacteria; Pseudomonadales; Pseudomonadaceae. The record is from RNAcentral.